RNAcentral lists this long non-coding RNA (270 nucleotides) under Carassius auratus (goldfish). RNAcentral describes it as "lncRNA (ENSCARG00000004053.1)". Lineage: Eukaryota; Metazoa; Chordata; Actinopteri; Cypriniformes; Cyprinidae. The record is from RNAcentral.
CUCUGUCCUCUCCCUCCCACUACCGACUCCGCUAAACCACGCCCCCCUCGCCACACUGUUCAUUCACUACUAUGAAUUGAUGGAGGUCAGAUAAAAAAAGCUAGACUAUACAUGUGGCAAGCAAUGCAAGCGACUAAUAGGAGAAGUCAUUUCUCACCAUGAUGGAUGAAUGAUUCCGACUUACCACAGUUGUUUGAACUUGUGAAAAAUGGAGCAAGAGAGAGAAAAGAAAUGAUAUGCCAAAAACACGCUCCCGCACCUGUGAUGUAA